AAAGAACGCUGGAGGCAUGCCUAACACAUGCAAGUCGAACGAGACCUUCGGGUCUAGUGGCGCACGGGUGCGUAACGCGUGGGAACCUGCCCUUAGGUUCGGAAUAACUCCCCGAAAGGGGUGCUAAUACCGGAUAAUGUCUUCGGACCAAAGAUUUAUCGCCUUUGGAUGGGCCCGCGUUGGAUUAGCUAGUUGGUAGGGUAAAAGCCUACCAAGGCGACGAUCCAUAGCUGGUCUGAGAGGAUGAUCAGCCACACUGGGACUGAGACACGGCCCAGACUCCUACGGGAGGCAGCAGUGGGGAAGAGUGGACAAGGGGCGAAAGCCUGAUCCAGCAAUGCCGCGUGAGUGAUGAAGGCCUUAGGGUUGUAAAGCGCUUGGACCCGGGAGGAUAAUGACAGGACCGGGAGAAUAAGCGCCGGCUAACUCCGUG
Molecule: ribosomal RNA, 433 nt
Filed under: uncultured bacterium
Lineage: Bacteria
Description: partial 16S ribosomal RNA
Rfam family: Bacterial small subunit ribosomal RNA
Source: RNAcentral